GUCGAACGAGCUGUGAAUUUUCGGAUGCAGCUUAGUGGCGGACGGGUGAGUAACGCGUGGGUACCUGCCUCACACUGGGGGAUAACAGUUAGAAAUAGCUGCUAAUACCGCAUAAGUCCGCAUGGAAAAAACUCCGGUGGUGUGAGAUGGACCCGCGUCUGAUUAGCCAGUUGGCGGGGUAACGGCCCACCAAAGCGACGAUCAGUAGCCGGCCUGAGAGGGUGAACGGCCACAUUGGGACUGAGACACGGCCCAAACUCCUACGGGAGGCAGCAGUGGGGGAUAUUGCACAAUGGGGGAAACCCUGAUGCAGCGACGCCGCGUGGAGAAGAAGGUUUUCGGAUUGUAAAUCCUGUCGUUAGGGACGAUAAUGACGGUACCUAACAAGAAAGCACCGGCUAACUACGUGCCAGCAGCCGCGGUAAAACGUAGGGUGCAAGCGUUGUCCGGAAUUACUGGGUGUAAAGGGAGCGCAGGCGGGAAGACAAGUUGGAAGUGAAAACCAUGGGCUCAACCAUGAAUUGCUUUCAAAACUGUUUUUCUUGAGUAGUGCAGAGGUAGAUGGAAUUCCCGGUGUAGCGGUGGAAUGCGUAGAUAUCGGGAGGAACACCAGUGGCGAAGGCGGUCUACUGGGCACCAACUGACGCUGAGGCUCGAAAGCAUGGGUAGCAAACAGGAUUAGAUACCCUGGUAGUCCAUGCCGUAGACGAUGAUUACUAGGUGUUGGGGGAUGACCCCUCAGUGC
RNAcentral lists this ribosomal RNA (745 nucleotides) under uncultured bacterium. RNAcentral describes it as "bacterial SSU rRNA". It matches the Rfam family "Bacterial small subunit ribosomal RNA", at positions 61 to 846 of the family's 1533-position model. The record is from RNAcentral.